AACCUUUACACUGCACGACAGUGCGAUAGGGGGACUCCGAGUGUGAGGGCAUAUAGCCCUCGCUUUUCUGUACCGUAAGGUGGUACAGGAACAAGGACUGGGCAAGACCGGUGCCAGCCGCCGCGGUAAUACCGGCAGUCCGAGUGAUGGCCGAUAUUAUUGGGCCUAAAGCGUCCGUAGCUUGCUGUGUAAGUCCAUUGGGAAAUCGACCAGCUCAACUGGUCGGCGUCCGGUGGAAACUACACAGCUUGGGGCCGAGAGACUCAACGGGUACGUCCGGGGUAGGAGUGAAAUCCUGUAAUCCUGGACGGACCACCAAUGGGGAAACCACGUUGAGAGACCGGACCCGACAGUGAGGGACGAAGGCCAGGGUCUCGAACCGGAUUAGAUACCCGGGUAGUCCUGGCUGUAAACAAUGCUCGCUAGGUAUGUCACGCGCCAUGAGCACGUGAUGUGCCGUAGUGAAGACGAUAAGCGAGCCGCCUGGGAAGUACGUCCGCAAGGAUGAAACUUAA
Molecule: ribosomal RNA, 515 nt
Filed under: uncultured archaeon
Lineage: Archaea
Description: bacterial SSU rRNA
Rfam family: Archaeal small subunit ribosomal RNA
Source: RNAcentral